RNAcentral lists this ribosomal RNA (474 nucleotides) under uncultured Oscillospiraceae bacterium. Its description in RNAcentral is "partial 16S ribosomal RNA". It matches the Rfam family "Bacterial small subunit ribosomal RNA", at positions 376 to 863 of the family's 1533-position model. The record is from RNAcentral. Lineage: Bacteria; Bacillati; Bacillota; Clostridia; Eubacteriales; Oscillospiraceae.
GGNAANCCUNANGCAGCAACGCCGCGUGAAGNAAGAAGAUUUUCNGNUNGUAAAANUCUUUNUUGAUGGAGGAAAAAAAUGACGGUACCUCAANAACAAGCCCCGGCUAACUACGUGCCAGCAGCCGCGGUAAUACGUAGGGGGCGAGCGUUGUCCGGAAUUACUGGGUGUAAAGGGCGGGUAGGCGGGGAUGCAAGUCAGAUGUGAAAAACCGGGGCUUAACCCCGGGGUUGCAUUUGAAACUGUUUUUCUUGAGUGUCGGAGAGGGAAGCGGAAUUCCCAGUGUAGCGGUGAAAUGCGUAGAUAUUUGGAGGAACACCCGUGGGGAAGGCGGGUUUCUGGGCGGCAACUGACGGUGAGGCGCGAAAGCGUGGGGAGCAAACAGGAUUAGAUACCCUGGUAGUUCCCGCCGUAAACGAUGGAUACUAGGUGUAGGAGGUAUCGACCCCUUCUGUGCCGGAGUUAACACAAUAA